CGCGGUAAUUCCAGCUCCAAUAGCGUAUACUAAAGUGUUGCAGUUAAAAAGCUCGUAGUUGGAUUUCUGGCGGGGACGGCUGGUCGGUCUCGAAAGGGGCUGUACUGUUGUUGGUUCCCGUCAUCCUUGGGGAGAGCGGCUCUUACAUUAAGUUGUCGGCGUCGGGAUCCCUAUCUUUUACUGUGAAAAAAUUAGAGUGUUCAAAGCAGGCUUAGGCCCUGAAUACAUUAGCAUGGAAUAAUAAGAUACGACCUUGGUGGUCUAUUUUGUUGGUUUGCACGCCAAGGUAAUGAUUAAUAGGGAUAGUUGGGGGUAUUCGUAUUCAAGUGUCAGAGGUGAAAUUCUUGGAUUUAUGGAAGACGAACUACUGCGAAAGCAUUUACCAAGGAUGUUUUCAUUAAUCAAGAACGAAAGUUAGGGGAUCGAAGAUGAUUAGAUACCAUCGUAGUCUUAACCAUAAACUAUGCCGACUAGGGAUCGGUGGGUGCAUUUUUAGGCCUCAUCGGCACCUUAUGAGAAAUCAAAGUCUUUGGGUUCCGGGGGGAGUAUGGUCGCAAGGCUGAAACUUAAAGAAAUUGACGG
Molecule: ribosomal RNA, 582 nt
Filed under: uncultured Eustigmatophyceae
Lineage: Eukaryota; Eustigmatophyceae
Description: SSU rRNA
Rfam family: Eukaryotic small subunit ribosomal RNA
Source: RNAcentral